This 253-nucleotide ribosomal RNA is filed under the name uncultured bacterium. RNAcentral's name for it is "partial 16S ribosomal RNA". It matches the Rfam family "Bacterial small subunit ribosomal RNA", at positions 524 to 776 of the family's 1533-position model. The record is from RNAcentral.
UACGAAGGGGGCAAGCGUUGUUCGGAAUUACUGGGCGUAAAGGGCGCGUAGGCGGCUUAUCAAGUCAGGCGUGAAAUUCCCGGGCUCAACCUGGGGGCUGCGCUUGAUACUGAUGAGCUUGAAUGCGGGAGAGGAUAGUGGAAUUCCCAGUGUAGAGGUGAAAUUCGUAGAUAUUGGGAAGAACACCGGUGGCGAAGGCGGCUCUCUGGACCGAGACUGACGCUGAGGCGCGAAAGCGUGGGGAGCAAACAGG